RNAcentral lists this ribosomal RNA (319 nucleotides) under uncultured eukaryote. RNAcentral describes it as "partial 18S ribosomal RNA". It matches the Rfam family "Eukaryotic small subunit ribosomal RNA", at positions 1470 to 1796 of the family's 1831-position model. The record is from RNAcentral.
CCCUUAGAUGUUCUGGGCAACACGCGCGCUACAAUGGUCUUCGCAAACGGAUGCAUUCUCGAAGGAGAAUACCAAUCUUGGAAUCUAUGCCUUGGUCGGGACUGUUGCUUGCAAUUUUUCGACUCGAACCAGGAAUUCCUUGUAAUCGUGAUUCAUCACAUCACGAUGAAUACGUCCCUGCCCUUUGUACACACCGCCCGUCGCUCCUACCGAUCGAAGAGUUAGGUGAAUUGUUUUGAUCGAUAAGAUUUGACUAUGGUCAACUCUCGUUGUGAAAUUCUGUGAAUCUGACUGUUUAGAGGAAGGAAAAGUCGUAACA